This 246-nucleotide long non-coding RNA is filed under the name Oryza brachyantha (malo sina). Its description in RNAcentral is "long non-coding RNA (OBRA_LNC000891)". Lineage: Eukaryota; Viridiplantae; Streptophyta; Magnoliopsida; Poales; Poaceae. The record is from RNAcentral.
CUAAACUUUAGCCCAUAUUAUAUCGGAUGUUUGAAUAUUAUUAUAAAUAGUAAACGUAGUCUAUAAAUAAAAUUCAUUUAUAUUCUUGGACUAAUUCGCGAGACGAAUCUAAUGAGCCUAAUUAAUCCAUGACUAGUGUAUGUGAUGCUACAGUGAAAAUUUGCUAAUUAUGUAUUAAUUAGACUCAAAAAAUUCGUCUCACGGAUUAGCUCUUAUUUAUGAAAUUAGUUUUUUUAUUAGUCUAUG